Long non-coding RNA from Equus quagga, 376 nucleotides. RefSeq lists it as uncharacterized. The transcript has 3 exons. The record is from RefSeq and is a predicted model, not a curated record. NCBI's taxonomy places the organism in Eukaryota, Metazoa, Chordata, Mammalia, Perissodactyla, Equidae.
GAAAAGAAAGAAAUCAAGGCUUCUGUCUUGAGCAAUAGAAUGGAGAAAGACGUCAAUUACCAAGGAAUUACCAAGCUACCUCUGCCUGCACGGGAAGCCAGGAAAUGCUUAGCUGGGAGCUCAAGGUGAAAAGGAUUUGGUGAACAACCAGCUAGUCUCUGCCACUGCAUCUUAUUUUGAGACACCUCUUAGAUAUCCAGGAAAAGGGAGAACCUGCCAUGUGGGGUUGGAUUGGAGCUGAAGGCAUCAGGAUUGGAGGGAUUCAUCAAUGUAUGUGUGUGCGUAUGAACUCAUACUCUGUAUAUAUUUGUAUGAAUUGUAUAUGCUGUAUAAGGAUGUUUCAGUCAAUGACAGACUGCAUAUACAGUGGUGGUCC